AGUGAACGCUGGCGGUAGGCCUAACACAUGCAAGUCGAACGGCAGCACAGUAAGAGCUUGCUCUUACGGGUGGCGAGUGGCGGACGGGUGAGGAAUACAUCGGAAUCUACUUUUUCGUGGGGGAUAACGUAGGGAAACUUACGCUAAUACCGCAUACGACCUACGGGUGAAAGCAGGGGAUCUUCGGACCUUGCGCGAUUGAAUGAGCCGAUGUCGGAUUAGCUAGUUGGCGGGGUAAAGGCCCACCAAGGCGACGAUCCGUAGCUGGUCUGAGAGGAUGAUCAGCCAAAAUGGAAGUGAGGCACGGUCCAGACUCCUACGGGGGGCAACAGUGGGGAAUAUUGGGCAAUGGGGGCAAGGCUGAUCCAGCCAUACCGGGUGGGUGAAGAAGGCCUUCGGGUUGGAAAGCCCUUUUGGUGGGAAAGAAAAGCAGCAGGUUAAUACCCCGCUGUUCUGACGGUACCCAAAGAAUAAGCACCGGCUAACUUCGUG
RNAcentral lists this ribosomal RNA (492 nucleotides) under uncultured bacterium. RNAcentral's name for it is "partial 16S ribosomal RNA". It matches the Rfam family "Bacterial small subunit ribosomal RNA", at positions 29 to 507 of the family's 1533-position model. The record is from RNAcentral.